GACGAACGCUGGCGGCGUGCUUAACACAUGCAAGUCGAACGGUGAAGCGCCUUCCUUUUUGGUGGGUGUGGAUGAGUGGCGAACGGGUGAGUAACACGUGAGUAACCUGCCCCCUUCUUCUGGAUAACCGCAUGAAAGUGUGGCUAAUACGGGAUAUUCUGGGUCUGUCGCAUGAUGGGUCUGGGAAAGAUAUUGUUUCGGUGGGGGAUGGGCUCGCGGCCUAUCAGCUUGUUGGUGGGGUGAUGGCCUACCAAGGCGGUGACGGGUAGCCGGCCUGAGAAGGUGGACGGUCACACUGGGACUGAGACACGGCCCAGACUCCUACGAGAGGCAGCAGUGGGGAAUAUUGCACAAUGGGCGCAAGCCUGAUGCAGCGACGCCGCGUGAGGGAUGGAGGCCUUCGGGUUGUGAACCUCUUUCGCCAGUGAAGCAGGCCUGCCUCGUUUGUGGGUGGGUUGACGGUAGCUGGAUAAGAAGCGCCGGCUAACUACGUG
RNAcentral lists this ribosomal RNA (494 nucleotides) under uncultured bacterium. Its description in RNAcentral is "partial 16S ribosomal RNA". It matches the Rfam family "Bacterial small subunit ribosomal RNA", at positions 28 to 507 of the family's 1533-position model. The record is from RNAcentral.